GGGGUCGUGGCCAAGCCCGGCAUGGCGACUGACUCCAGAGGCAACGCGCCCGGGACGAAACUCCAGACUGAUAUACUGAGCGACUGACUGAUCAUCGGUCGUGUUGACGACCCUCUGGAGUUCCGAGGCGCACACCGGAGAUAUCAGUCGAUCGGGGGUUCAAAUCCCUCCGACCCCA
Molecule: transfer RNA, 178 nt
Organism: Halogeometricum borinquense DSM 11551
Lineage: Archaea; Methanobacteriati; Methanobacteriota; Halobacteria; Halobacteriales; Haloferacaceae
Rfam family: tRNA
About the family: Transfer RNA (tRNA) molecules are approximately 80 nucleotides in length. Their secondary structure includes four short double-helical elements and three loops (D, anti-codon, and T loops).
Source: Rfam